RNAcentral lists this non-coding RNA (59 nucleotides) under Actinomadura madurae. Lineage: Bacteria; Bacillati; Actinomycetota; Actinomycetes; Streptosporangiales; Thermomonosporaceae. The record is from RNAcentral.
GCUCAGGCGUUCCCUCCCGGACGAGGUGCGUCGUACCCGGCAGGCGAAGACGGCGCGUG